Trichosurus vulpecula (common brushtail) is the source of this 106-nucleotide small nuclear RNA. The record is from RefSeq and is a predicted model, not a curated record. NCBI's taxonomy places the organism in Eukaryota, Metazoa, Chordata, Mammalia, Diprotodontia, Phalangeridae.
GUGCUUACAUUGGCAGCACAUAGACAAAAUUGGAAUGAAACAGAGAAAAUUAGCUUGGCUCUGGAUCAAGGACAACAUACAAAUUUGUGGAUGGUCCCAUAUUUAA